GCGUUAAUUGGAAUUACUGGGCGUAAAGCGCGCGUAGGUGGUUCGUUAAGUUGGCUGUGAAAUCCCCGGGCUCAACCUGGGACCUGCAUUCAAAACUGUCGAGCUAGAGUAUGGUAGAGGGUGGUGGAAUUUCCUGUGUAGCGGUGAAAUGCGUAGAUAUAGGAAGGAACACCAGUGGCGAAGGCGACCACCUGGACUGAUACUGACACUGAGGUGCGAAAGCGUG
Molecule: ribosomal RNA, 226 nt
Filed under: uncultured bacterium
Lineage: Bacteria
Description: partial 16S ribosomal RNA
Rfam family: Bacterial small subunit ribosomal RNA
Source: RNAcentral